UCAUGUCUGGCGGCGGCUAUCAUGCAGUCGACGCUUCUUUUCCCACCGGAGCUUGCUCCACCGGGAAAAGAGGAGUGGCGAACGGGUGAGUAACACGUGGGUAACCUGCCCAUCAGAAGGGGAUAACACUUGGAAACAGGUGCUAAUACCGUAUAACAAUCGAAACCGCAUGGUUUCGUUUUGAAAGGCGCUUUACGGUGCCGCUGAUGGAUGGACCCGCGGUGCAUUAGCUAGUUGGUGAGGUAACGGCUCACCAAGGCCACGAUGCAUAGCCGACCUGAGAGGGUGAUCGGCCACAUUGGGACUGAGACACGGCCCAAACUCCUACGGGAGGCAGCAGUAGGGAAUCUUCGGCAAUGGACGAAAGUCUGACCGAGCAACGCCGCGUGAGUGAAGAAGGUUUUCGGAUCGUAAAACUCUGUUGUUAGAGAAGAACAAGGGUGAGAGUAACUGUUCACCCCUUGACGGUAUCUAACCAGAAAGCCACGGCUAACUACGUGCCAGCAGCCGCGUAAUACGUAGGUGGCAAGCGUUGUCCGGAUUUAUUGGGCGUAAAGCGAGCGCAGGCGGUUUCUUAAGUCUGAUGUGAAAGCCCCCGGCUCAACCGGGGAGGGUCAUUGGAAACUGGGAGACUUGAGUGCAGAAGAGGAGAGUGGAAUUCCAUGUGUAGCGGUGAAAUGCGUAGAUAUAUGGAGGAACACCAGUGGCGAAGGCGGCUCUCUGGUCUGUAACUGACGCUGAGGCUCGAAAGCGUGGGGAGCAAACAGGAUUAGAUACCCUGGUAGUCCACGCCGUAAACGAUGAGUGCUAAGUGUUGGAGGGUUUCCGCCCUUCAGUGCUGCAGCUAACGCAUUAAGCACUCCGCCUGGGGAGUACGACCGCAAGGUUGAAACUCAAAGGAAUUGACGGGGGCCCGCACAAGCGGUGGAGCAUGUGGUUUAAUUCGAAGCAACGCGAAGAACCUUACCAGGUCUUGACAUCCUUUGACCACUCUAGAGAUAGAGCUUCCCCUUCGGGGGCAAAGGACAGGUGGUGCAUGGUGUCUUCAGGUUUCGUGUCGUCAGCUCGUGUCGUGAGAUGUUGGGUUAAGUCCCGCAACGAGCGCAACCCUUAUUGUUAGUUGCCAUCAUUUAGUUGGGCACUCUAGCAAGACUGCCGGUGACAAACCGGAGGAAGGUGGGGAUGACGUCAAAUCAUCAUGCCCCUUAUGACCUGGGCUACACACGUGCUACAAUGGGAAGUACAACGAGUCGCGAAGUCGCGAGGCUAAGCUAAUCUCUUAAAGCUUCUCUCAGUUCGGAUUGUAGGCUGCAACUCGCCUACAUGAAGCCGGAAUCGCUAGUAAUCGCGAUCAGCACCGCCCGGCCAAUC
Molecule: ribosomal RNA, 1371 nt
Filed under: Enterococcus mundtii
Lineage: Bacteria; Bacillati; Bacillota; Bacilli; Lactobacillales; Enterococcaceae
Description: bacterial SSU rRNA
Rfam family: Bacterial small subunit ribosomal RNA
Source: RNAcentral